Non-coding RNA from Poecile atricapillus (Black-capped chickadee), 372 nucleotides. Lineage: Eukaryota; Metazoa; Chordata; Aves; Passeriformes; Paridae. The record is from the annotation of a RefSeq genome assembly.
AUGUUCUGGAACCAUCCUGAGGUCCGGGCGGCCGUGACCCUGCUGGAGUCCGGGGGGGACCUCCAGCCCCCCGGGGGGUCCCUGCGCCUCCUCUGCCGAGGACAAGGAUUCGAAUUCGGGAAAUUUGGGAUGGGCUGGAUCCGCCAGAGACCUGGGAAGGCGCUGGAAUUCCUUGCACGGAUCAGCAGCACUGGUGGCAGCACCGACUACGCGCCAUCCGUGCAGGGCCGGUUCACCAUCAGCAGGGACAACGGGCAGAGCUCGGUGACGCUGAGCAUGAACAACCUCCAGGACGAGGAUUCCGGGGUUUAUUUCUGUGCCAAAUCUGCUGGUGGUUACGGUGCUGGUGCUGCUGCUUUUGGUGACGAUCGU